CUCGUAGGCGGCUCGGUAAGUUGGGUGUGAAAACUCCAGGCUCAACCUGGAGAGGCCACUCAAUACUGCCGUGGCUAGAGUUCGGUGGAGGAUCGUGGAAUUUCUGGUGUAGCGGUGAAAUGCGCAGAUAUCAGAAGGAACACCAACGGCGAAGGCAGCGAUCUGGGCCGAUACUGACGCUGAGGAGCGAAAGCAUGGGGAGCAAACA
This 208-nucleotide ribosomal RNA is filed under the name uncultured bacterium. Its description in RNAcentral is "partial 16S ribosomal RNA". It matches the Rfam family "Bacterial small subunit ribosomal RNA", at positions 568 to 774 of the family's 1533-position model. The record is from RNAcentral.